GGUGGCUUUUGGGCUGUCGCAGAUGGAUGAGCCUGCGUUGGAUUAGCUAGUUGGUGAGGUAAGGGCCUACCAAGGCUACGAUCCAUAGCUGAUUUGAGAGGAUGAUCAGCCACAUUGGGACUGAGACACGGCCCAAACUCCUACGGGAGGCAGCAGUGAGGAAUAUUGGACAAUGGGGGCAACCCUGAUCCAGCAAUGCCAUGUGUGUGAAGAAGGCCUUAGGGUUGUAAAGCACUUUAGUUGGGGAAGAAAGCUUUGAGGUUAAUAGCCUUGAGGAAAAGGACGUUACCCAAAGAAUAAGCACCGGCUAACUCCGUGCCAGCAGCCGCGGUAAUACGGGGGGUGCAAGCGUUAAUCGGAAUUACUGGGCGUAAAGGGUCUGUAGGUGGUUUGUUAAGUCAGAUGUGAAAGCCUAGGGCUCAACCUUGGAACUGCAUUUGAUACUGGUAAACUAGAGUACGGUAGAGGAAUGGGGAAUUUCUGGUGUAGCGGUGAAAUGCGUAGAGAUCAGAAGGAACACCAAUGGCGAAGGCAACAUUCUGGACCGAUACUGACACUGAGGGACGAAAGCGUGGGGAUCAAACAGGAUUAGAUACCCUGGUAGUCCACGCUGUAAACGAUGAGUACUAGCUGUUGGAGUCGGUGUAAAGGCUCUAGUGGCGCAGCUAACGCGAUAAGUACUCCGCCUGGGGACUACGGCCGCAAGGCUAAAACUCAAAGGAAUUGACGGGGACCCGCACAAGCGGUGGAGCAUGUGGUUUAAUUCGAUGCAACGCGAAGAACCUUACCUGGUCUUGACAUCCUGCGAUCUUUCUAGAGAUAGAUUGGUGCCUUCGGGAACGCAGUGACAGGUGCUGCACGGCUGUCGUCAGCUCGUGUUGUGA
RNAcentral lists this ribosomal RNA (884 nucleotides) under Francisella endosymbiont of Dermacentor variabilis. Its description in RNAcentral is "bacterial SSU rRNA". It matches the Rfam family "Bacterial small subunit ribosomal RNA", at positions 195 to 1070 of the family's 1533-position model. Lineage: Bacteria; Pseudomonadati; Pseudomonadota; Gammaproteobacteria; Thiotrichales; Francisellaceae. The record is from RNAcentral.